UACCAGCACCCCGAGUGGUCGGGACGAUUAUUGGGCCUAAAGCAUCCGUAGCCGGUUUUACAAGUCCUCCGUUAAAUCCAACUGCUUAACAGAUGGGCCGCGGAGGAUACUAUAAGACUAGGAGGCAGGAGAGGCAAGCGGUACUCAGUGGGUAGGGGUAAAAUCCGUCGAUCCAUUGAAGACCACCAGUGGCGAAGGCGGCUUGCCAGAAUGCGCUCGACGGUGAGGGAUGAAAGCUGGGGGAGCAAACCGG
This 253-nucleotide ribosomal RNA is filed under the name uncultured bacterium. Its description in RNAcentral is "partial 16S ribosomal RNA". It matches the Rfam family "Archaeal small subunit ribosomal RNA", at positions 474 to 727 of the family's 1478-position model. The record is from RNAcentral.